CUGAGCUGCUUCUCCAGCUCUGCGAUCUUGGCCAUGGAUUCGUUCUCCGCGUCCCGAAGCCGCUCUGUCAGCUGUAGCACCAGCACAUGCUUUACAUGAAAGAGAGAAGCCAGAGUACCACUACAGUAUGUGCAGCAUUGGGGACAGAACCAGGAAUCUCAGGCAUGCAAGUCCUAUGCUCUACCAGCUGAGCUAUCUCCCUAGCCAGUCCAGUCUUUGAGGGUGGAGAGCAGUGGAUGGCAAAAACUGCCAGACGUUGGGGACUCUGUCCACAAGGGGGCACUCUUGGCCACAUAGGGCUUAUCUUCCAUCUUGGGUGGACAACUCUGACCUCAGACUUCAUGGAUUCGGAAACCAGCAGAUCACUUAUGAGGCAAGUUACUUAAUCUCCCUUUGCCUGUUUCUUUCCUAGUUGUAAAAUAGGAAUGGUAAUAAUGCUACCUUUCUGAGAAUGGCGUCGGGUCUAUGGAAACAGCUUCAGAGUUCCUGUCAUAUAGUUAGUACUUUGUAAGCAUGUUCCAUAAUUCUUUGCCAAAAUGUAGCUGGUGUCAUUGUUGCAAAACUUCAGAUUGUGACUUCUUUUUUUAUAUAUUUACUUAUUCUCUUUUGUGCCCUUGUUGUUUCAUUGUUGUCGUCGUUGUUGGAUAGGACAGAGAGAAAUCGAGAGGGGAGGGGAAGACAGAGAGGGGGAGAGAAAGAUAGAUACCUGCAGACCUGCUUCACCGCUUGUGAAGCAACUCCUCUGCAGGUGGGGAGCUGGGGGCUGGAACUGGGAUCUUUAGGUGGAUCCUUGCACUUUGUGUCACGUGCGCUUAACCCACUGCGCUACCGCCCCUCCCCAGAUUGUGACUUCUGUGUCCCCUUGAGAGUGCUAGCACAUCUCCAACAACACUGGAAAGACCCACCUCCUUGUCUGCCACAACACUUCUCCCAUCCUUACUUAGCUGUGCCUGAGUCUUCAUUCAUGCUGUUCCUUCUGCCUAGAAUGCCUUUUCCUGCCACCACCACCAACCCCCUCCAGUGCUGCCUGGAAAGCCCAUAUCCAUCUGCAAAACAUCAUCCCCAGGGGUCUACUGGGGAUCCUUCCUGAUGCCCCAGGCAGUGGUCACCACCCUUCCCAGAGCUCUUAGUCAUACCUCCAUGACAGCCUGUCAUAUACAUUGUCCCCUACCCACAAGGGCUCUCAAGGGCAGAGUCUUCUCAGCACCUCCUAGCAUGCCUACUAUAUAGUAAAUAUUCUUCAGAAAAAAAUGUUUGUUGAAUGGCUGAAUGAACAACCAAAGAAACAUGAACGUUUAGGGCAUAAUAUGAAGUUAGUCCCUCCCAGACCUCAAGUGGAAAUGGAGGAAGCUAGGGCCCCCCACAUGAGGC
Erinaceus europaeus (western European hedgehog) is the source of this 1371-nucleotide long non-coding RNA. RefSeq lists it as uncharacterized. The record is from RefSeq and is a predicted model, not a curated record. The transcript has 3 exons. NCBI's taxonomy places the organism in Eukaryota, Metazoa, Chordata, Mammalia, Eulipotyphla, Erinaceidae.